Molecule: unclassified non-coding RNA, 148 nt
Organism: Macaca fascicularis (crab-eating macaque)
Lineage: Eukaryota; Metazoa; Chordata; Mammalia; Primates; Cercopithecidae
Rfam family: Metazoan signal recognition particle RNA
About the family: The signal recognition particle (SRP) is a universally conserved ribonucleoprotein. It is involved in the co-translational targeting of proteins to membranes. The eukaryotic SRP consists of a 300-nucleotide 7S RNA and six proteins: SRPs 72, 68, 54, 19, 14, and 9.
Source: Ensembl
GCCAGGCAUGGUGGUGUGUGCCUGUAAUCCCAGCUACUCAGAAGGCUGAGGCUGGAGGAUCACUUGAGCCCAGGAGUUCAAGGCUGCAGUGAGCUAUGAUCAUGCCACUGCACUCCAGCCUGGGUGACAGAAUGAGACCCUGUCUCAA